AUUGAACGCUGGCGGCAGGCCUAACACAUGCAAGUCGAACGAGUGGCGGACGGGUGAGUAAUGUCUGGGAAACUGCCUGAUGGAGGGGGAUAACUACUGGAAACGGUAGCUAAUACCGCAUACCAUCGGAUGUGCCCAGAUGGGAUUAGCUAGUAGGUGGGGUAAAGGCUCACCUAGGCGACGAUCCCUAGCUGGUCUGAGAGGAUGACCAGCAACACUGGAACUGAGAAACGGUCCAGAUGCCUCCGGGAGGGAGCGGUGGGGAACAUUGCACAAUGGGGGCAAGCCUGAUGCAGCCAUGCCGCGUGUAGGAAGAAGGCCUUCGGGUUGUAAAGUACUUUCAGCGGGGCGGCGGUACCCGCAGAAGAAGCACCGGCUAACUCCGUGCCAGCAGCCGCGGUAAUAC
This 406-nucleotide ribosomal RNA is filed under the name uncultured bacterium. Its description in RNAcentral is "partial 16S ribosomal RNA". It matches the Rfam family "Bacterial small subunit ribosomal RNA", at positions 29 to 526 of the family's 1533-position model. The record is from RNAcentral.